GUCCAGACUCCUACGGGAGGCAGCAGUGGGGAAUAUUGCACAAUGGGGGAAACCCUGAUGCAGCAACGCCGCGUGAGUGAAGAAGUAUUUCGGUAUGUAAAGCUCUAUCAGCAGGGAAGAAAAUGACGGUACCUGACUAAGAAGCCCCGGCUAACUACGUGCCAGCAGCCGCGGUAAUACGUAGGGGGCAAGCGUUAUCCGGAUUUACUGGGUGUAAAGGGAGCGUAGACGGCAUGGCAAGUCAGAUGUGAAAGCCCGGGGCUCAACCCCGGGACUGCAUUUGAAACUGUCAGGCUGGAGUGCAGGAGAGGUAAGUGGAAUUCCUAGUGUAGCGGUGAAAUGCGUAGAUAUUAGGAGGAACACCAGUGGCGAAGGCGGCUUACUGGACUGUAACUGACGUUGAGGCUCGAAAGCGUGGGGAGCAAACAGGAUUAGAUACCCGAGUA
Molecule: ribosomal RNA, 446 nt
Filed under: uncultured bacterium
Lineage: Bacteria
Description: bacterial SSU rRNA
Rfam family: Bacterial small subunit ribosomal RNA
Source: RNAcentral